This 478-nucleotide ribosomal RNA is filed under the name uncultured bacterium. RNAcentral describes it as "SSU rRNA". It matches the Rfam family "Bacterial small subunit ribosomal RNA", at positions 26 to 518 of the family's 1533-position model. The record is from RNAcentral.
AGGACGAACGCUGGCGGCGUGCUUAACACAUGCAAGUCGAGCGACGCUCCUCCUUCGGGAGGAUGACGGAGCGGCGAACGGGUGAGUAACACGUGGGCAACCUGCCCCUAGCUCUGGGAUAACCCCGGGAAAUCGGGACUAAUACCGGAUAUGAAGUCGGACGGCAUCGUCUGACUUGGAAAGUUUUUCGGCUAGGGGUGGGCCCGCGGCCUAUCAGCUUGUUGGUGGGGUAACGGCCUACCAAGGCGACGACGGGUAGCCGGCCUGAGAGGGCGACCGGCCACACUGGGACUGAGACACGGCCCAGACUCCUACGGGAGGCAGCAGUGGGGAAUAUUGCACAAUGGGCGAAAGCCUGAUGCAGCGACGCCGCGUGAGGGAUGACUGCCUUCGGGUUGUAAACCUCUUUCAGCAGGGACGAAGCGAAAGUGACGGUACCUGCAGAAGAAGCACCGGCCAACUACGCGCCAGCAGCCGC